RNAcentral lists this ribosomal RNA (244 nucleotides) under uncultured bacterium. RNAcentral describes it as "partial small subunit ribosomal RNA". It matches the Rfam family "Bacterial small subunit ribosomal RNA", at positions 26 to 285 of the family's 1533-position model. The record is from RNAcentral.
AGAAUCAACGCUGGCGGCGUGCCUAACACAUGCAAGUCGAACGAGAAAGGAGAGCAAUCCCUGAGUAAAGUGGCGCACGGGUGAGUAACACGUGACUAACCUACCCUUGAGUGGGGGAUAACUGAGGGAAACCUUAGCUAAUACCGCAUAAUACCCACGGGUCAAAGGAGCAAUUCGCUCGAGGAGGGGUCGCGGCCGAUUAGUUAGUUGGCGGGGUAAUGGCCCACCAAGACGAUGAUCGGUA